RNAcentral lists this ribosomal RNA (468 nucleotides) under uncultured bacterium. RNAcentral's name for it is "partial 16S ribosomal RNA". It matches the Rfam family "Bacterial small subunit ribosomal RNA", at positions 28 to 507 of the family's 1533-position model. The record is from RNAcentral.
GAUGAACGCUGGCGGCGUGCUUAACACAUGCAAGUCGAACGGAAAGGCCCUGCUUCUGUGUGGUGCUCGAGUGGCGAACGGGUGUGUAACACGUGAGUAACCUGCCCUCGACUUUGGGAUAACUUCAGGAAACUGGGGCUAAUACCGGAUAGGAGCUCCUGCUGCAUGGUGGUGGUUGGAAAGUUUCGGCGGUUGGGGAUGGACUCGCGGGUUAUCAGCUUGUUGGUGGAGUAGUGGCUUACCAAGGCUGUGACGGGUAGCCGGCCUGAGAGGGUGACCGGCCACAUUGGGACUGAGAUACGGCCCAGAAUCCUACGGUAGACAGCAGGGGGGAAUAUUGCACAAUAGGCGGAAGCCUGAUGAAGAAACGCCGCGUGCGGAAUGACGGCCUUCGGGUUGUAAACCGGUUUCGCCGGUACCGAAGAGUGAGUGACGGUAAUGAAUAAAGAAGCACCGGCUAACUACGUG